Molecule: long non-coding RNA, 264 nt
Filed under: Lathyrus oleraceus (garden pea)
Lineage: Eukaryota; Viridiplantae; Streptophyta; Magnoliopsida; Fabales; Fabaceae
Description: Pisum sativum (pea) long non-coding RNA (PSAT_LNC038602)
Source: RNAcentral
AUUAUGUCUCUAAAUCAUAAGGCUAGUUGAUUGAAAAAUUAACAUAACUAUGGAUGAUAUUAGGCCACCUCUUUUGCAUAUUCUUUUUGUGUGUGGUAUGUUUCAUGAGCAUAAUCUAUUAUACUAUGUCUUUAACAUGCAUUAACACAAAAAUUCUAUUGCCCGACCUGUAACACCCCAAAAUUUGCCCUCCUCAUUCAUGCAUUCAUUUAGCAUUUCAUAUUGCAUUUCAUCAUGUCAAUCAGAAUUAGAUCCAAGAAACUU